UGGGGAAUAUUGGACAAUGGGCGCAAGCCUGAUCCAGCGACGCCGCGUGGGUGAUUAAGGCCUUCGGGUUGUAAAGCCCUUUCAGUAGGAAAGAUGAUGACGGUACCUACAGAAGAAGCUCCGGCUAACUUCGUGCCAGCAGCCGCGGUAAUACGAAGGGAGCUAGCGUUACUCGGAAUUAUUGGGCGUAAAGCGUGCGUAGGCUGCUUUGCAAGUUGGAAGUGAAAGCCCAGGGCUCAACCUUGGAAUU
RNAcentral lists this ribosomal RNA (250 nucleotides) under uncultured bacterium. RNAcentral describes it as "partial 16S ribosomal RNA". It matches the Rfam family "Bacterial small subunit ribosomal RNA", at positions 355 to 622 of the family's 1533-position model. The record is from RNAcentral.